RNAcentral lists this ribosomal RNA (329 nucleotides) under uncultured bacterium. Its description in RNAcentral is "bacterial SSU rRNA". It matches the Rfam family "Bacterial small subunit ribosomal RNA", at positions 20 to 357 of the family's 1533-position model. The record is from RNAcentral.
UGGCUCAGAACGCACGCUGGCGGCAUGCUUAACACAUGCAAUUCGAACACUCGCCGUGUUCGCCCGGCGGGAGUGGCGCACGGAUGAGUACAGCGUGGGAACCUGCCCUGGAGUGGGGGAUAACCGAGGGAAACUUCGGGUAUAUACCGCAUGUGCCCGCGGAGUGAUCCGCGGGAGAAAGACUUAUCGCUCCGGGAGGGGCCCGCGUCCGAUUAGCUAGUUGGUGGGGUAACGGCUCACCAAGGCGAUGAUCGGUAGCUGGUCUGAGAGGAUGAUCAGCCACACUGGGACUGAGACACGGCCCAGACUCCUACGGGAGGCAGCAGUGG